RNAcentral lists this ribosomal RNA (505 nucleotides) under uncultured bacterium. RNAcentral describes it as "partial 16S ribosomal RNA". It matches the Rfam family "Bacterial small subunit ribosomal RNA", at positions 28 to 507 of the family's 1533-position model. The record is from RNAcentral.
GACGAACGCUGGCGGCGUGCUUAACACAUGCAAGUCGAACGGUGAAGCGCUUGCCUUUUUGGUGGGUGUGGAUGAGUGGCGAACGGGGGAGUAACACGUGAGUAACCUGCCCUCUUCUUCUGGAUAACCUCAUGAAAGUGGCGCUAAUACGGGGUAUUCCGUGUCUGUCGCAUCGCGGGUUUGGGAAAGAUUGCGCCUUUGGGUGUUUUCGUUGGGGGUUGGGCAGGCGGCCUAUCAGCUUGCUGGGGGGGUGAUGGUCUAACACGGCGGUGACGGGUGGGCGGCCUGGGAGGGUGGACGGCCACAGUGGGGCUGAGACGCGGCGCAGACUCCUGCGGGAGGCAGCAGUGGAGAAUAGUGAACAAUGGGCGGAAGGAUGAAGCAGCGACGCGGCGUGGGGGAUGGAGGCCGUCGGGUUGUGAACCUCUUUCGCGAGUGAAGCAGGCCUGCCUAGUUUGUGGGUGGGUUGACGGUAGCUGGAGAAGAAGCGCCGGCUAACUACGUG